This 368-nucleotide long non-coding RNA is filed under the name Marmota marmota marmota (Alpine marmot). RNAcentral's name for it is "lncRNA (ENSMMMG00000001027.1)". Lineage: Eukaryota; Metazoa; Chordata; Mammalia; Rodentia; Sciuridae. The record is from RNAcentral.
GACCCGCCGUGCUCCCUGCCGGCCACAGAGACAGUGCAGGUGCUCUGCCCCCAGGGUGAAGACGGCCCCCCUGGAAACGGCACCGAGGGCUUCCCUGGCUUCCCCGGCUAUCCAGGCAGCAGGGGCCCCCCUGGGCUGAACGGCACCAAAGGCUACCCCGGCCUCAAGGGGGACGAGGGUGAAGCUGGGGACCCUGGCGAGGAUAACAAUGACAUGGCACCUCGUGGCGUCAAAGGGGCAAAGGGGCACCGGGGCCCCGAGGGCCCGCAGGGACCUCCAGGAAGCACAGGACCACCCGGGCCAGACGUAAGUGGGGACUCCGCGGCUGUCCUCUGAGCCUGACCACUGCACACCAGGGGCUGUCGUAG